UGGGGAAUAUUGCACAAUGGGCGAAAGCCUGAUGCAGCAACGCCGCGUGAGUGAUGAAGGCCUUCGGGUUGUAAAGCUCUGUCUUUUGGGACGAUAAUGACGGUACCAAAGGAGGAAGCCACGGCUAACUACGUGCCAGCAGCCGCGGUAAUACGUAGGUGGCAAGCGUUGUCCGGAUUUACUGGGCGUAAAGGAUGCGUAGGCGGAUUUUUAAGUGAGAUGUGAAAACCCUAAGCUUAACUUGGGGACUGCAUUUCAUACUGGAAAUCUAGAGUGCGGGAGAGGAGAAUGGAAUUCCUAGUGUAGCGGUGAAAUGCGUAGAGAUUAGGAAGAACACCAGUGGCGAAGGCGAUUCUCUGGACCGUAACUGACGCUGAGGCAUGAAAGCGUGGGUAGCAAACAGGAUUAGAUACCCUGGUAGUCCACGCCGUAAAACGAUGAGUACUAGGUGUAGGAGGUAUCGACCCCUUCUGUGCCGCAGUUAACACAAUAAGUACUCCGCCUGGGAAGUACGAUCGCAAGAUUAAAAACUC
RNAcentral lists this ribosomal RNA (533 nucleotides) under uncultured bacterium. RNAcentral's name for it is "partial 16S ribosomal RNA". It matches the Rfam family "Bacterial small subunit ribosomal RNA", at positions 355 to 902 of the family's 1533-position model. The record is from RNAcentral.